AGCACUAAGCUGGCAUGUGAUUAAACACAAUGGUUAACUUCAAGGACUGAGUACAUUAAGUUCUAAUGUGGGAAAACAUAUUUUAGGAAAAAGAAGAAUUUGUUUACUCAAGACUGAAAGCCAAAGGUCUGAAAAUGAAAGAUGAAACAGGUCAAAAAAUGACACUGAAUGCAGAAGAAAUGGCUGACUUCUACAAGGAUUUCUUAAGUAAAAACUUUAGAAAGCAUAUGCAUUAUAACAGAGAUUGGUAUAAACGUAACUUUACUAUCACAUUCCUCAUGGGUCAAGUAGCCCUGGAGAGAGCUCUGAGAUGGCUUCGCUGGAAAAAGAAAGAUAUUGGAAAUUAGUG
Tinamus guttatus (white-throated tinamou) is the source of this 349-nucleotide non-coding RNA. Lineage: Eukaryota; Metazoa; Chordata; Aves; Tinamiformes; Tinamidae. The record is from RefSeq and is a predicted model, not a curated record.